This 198-nucleotide ribosomal RNA is filed under the name uncultured bacterium. RNAcentral describes it as "partial 16S ribosomal RNA". It matches the Rfam family "Bacterial small subunit ribosomal RNA", at positions 328 to 539 of the family's 1533-position model. The record is from RNAcentral.
ACGCUCGACACCUACGGGAGAAGCAGUCGGGAAUAUUGCGCAAUGGAGGGAACUCUGACGCAGUGACGCCGCGUAUAGGAAGAAGGUUUUCGGAUUGUAAACUAUUGUCGUUAGGGAAGAGAAAGGACAGUACCUAAGGAGGAAGCUCCGGCUAACUACGUGCCAGGAGCCGCGGUAAUCUGAGCGGGCUGGCAAGGC